This 2902-nucleotide ribosomal RNA is filed under the name Escherichia coli. RNAcentral describes it as "23S ribosomal RNA". It matches the Rfam family "Bacterial large subunit ribosomal RNA". Lineage: Bacteria; Pseudomonadati; Pseudomonadota; Gammaproteobacteria; Enterobacterales; Enterobacteriaceae. The record is from RNAcentral.
GGUUAAGCGACUAAGCGUACACGGUGGAUGCCCUGGCAGUCAGAGGCGAUGAAGGACGUGCUAAUCUGCGAUAAGCGUCGGUAAGGUGAUAUGAACCGUUAUAACCGGCGAUUUCCGAAUGGGGAAACCCAGUGUGUUUCGACACACUAUCAUUAACUGAAUCCAUAGGUUAAUGAGGCGAACCGGGGGAACUGAAACAUCUAAGUACCCCGAGGAAAAGAAAUCAACCGAGAUUCCCCCAGUAGCGGCGAGCGAACGGGGAGCAGCCAGAGCCUGAAUCAGUGUGUGUGUUAGUGGAAGCGUCUGGAAAGGCGCGCGAUACAGGGUGACAGCCCCGUACACAAAAAUGCACAUGCUGUGAGCUCGAUGAGUAGGGCGGGACACGUGGUAUCCUGUCUGAAUAUGGGGGGACCAUCCUCCAAGGCUAAAUACUCCUGACUGACCGAUAGUGAACCAGUACCGUGAGGGAAAGGCGAAAAGAACCCCGGCGAGGGGAGUGAAAAAGAACCUGAAACCGUGUACGUACAAGCAGUGGGAGCACGCUUAGGCGUGUGACUGCGUACCUUUUGUAUAAUGGGUCAGCGACUUAUAUUCUGUAGCAAGGUUAACCGAAUAGGGGAGCCGAAGGGAAACCGAGUCUUAACUGGGCGUUAAGUUGCAGGGUAUAGACCCGAAACCCGGUGAUCUAGCCAUGGGCAGGUUGAAGGUUGGGUAACACUAACUGGAGGACCGAACCGACUAAUGUUGAAAAAUUAGCGGAUGACUUGUGGCUGGGGGUGAAAGGCCAAUCAAACCGGGAGAUAGCUGGUUCUCCCCGAAAGCUAUUUAGGUAGCGCCUCGUGAAUUCAUCUCCGGGGGUAGAGCACUGUUUCGGCAAGGGGGUCAUCCCGACUUACCAACCCGAUGCAAACUGCGAAUACCGGAGAAUGUUAUCACGGGAGACACACGGCGGGUGCUAACGUCCGUCGUGAAGAGGGAAACAACCCAGACCGCCAGCUAAGGUCCCAAAGUCAUGGUUAAGUGGGAAACGAUGUGGGAAGGCCCAGACAGCCAGGAUGUUGGCUUAGAAGCAGCCAUCAUUUAAAGAAAGCGUAAUAGCUCACUGGUCGAGUCGGCCUGCGCGGAAGAUGUAACGGGGCUAAACCAUGCACCGAAGCUGCGGCAGCGACACUAUGUGUUGUUGGGUAGGGGAGCGUUCUGUAAGCCUGUGAAGGUGUGCUGUGAGGCAUGCUGGAGGUAUCAGAAGUGCGAAUGCUGACAUAAGUAACGAUAAAGCGGGUGAAAAGCCCGCUCGCCGGAAGACCAAGGGUUCCUGUCCAACGUUAAUCGGGGCAGGGUGAGUCGACCCCUAAGGCGAGGCCGAAAGGCGUAGUCGAUGGGAAACAGGUUAAUAUUCCUGUACUUGGUGUUACUGCGAAGGGGGGACGGAGAAGGCUAUGUUGGCCGGGCGACGGUUGUCCCGGUUUAAGCGUGUAGGCUGGUUUUCCAGGCAAAUCCGGAAAAUCAAGGCUGAGGCGUGAUGACGAGGCACUACGGUGCUGAAGCAACAAAUGCCCUGCUUCCAGGAAAAGCCUCUAAGCAUCAGGUAACAUCAAAUCGUACCCCAAACCGACACAGGUGGUCAGGUAGAGAAUACCAAGGCGCUUGAGAGAACUCGGGUGAAGGAACUAGGCAAAAUGGUGCCGUAACUUCGGGAGAAGGCACGCUGAUAUGUAGGUGAGGUCCCUCGCGGAUGGAGCUGAAAUCAGUCGAAGAUACCAGCUGGCUGCAACUGUUUAUUAAAAACACAGCACUGUGCAAACACGAAAGUGGACGUAUACGGUGUGACGCCUGCCCGGUGCCGGAAGGUUAAUUGAUGGGGUUAGCGCAAGCGAAGCUCUUGAUCGAAGCCCCGGUAAACGGCGGCCGUAACUAUAACGGUCCUAAGGUAGCGAAAUUCCUUGUCGGGUAAGUUCCGACCUGCACGAAUGGCGUAAUGAUGGCCAGGCUGUCUCCACCCGAGACUCAGUGAAAUUGAACUCGCUGUGAAGAUGCAGUGUACCCGCGGCAAGACGGAAAGACCCCGUGAACCUUUACUAUAGCUUGACACUGAACAUUGAGCCUUGAUGUGUAGGAUAGGUGGGAGGCUUAGAAGUGUGGACGCCAGUCUGCAUGGAGCCGACCUUGAAAUACCACCCUUUAAUGUUUGAUGUUCUAACGUUGACCCGUAAUCCGGGUUGCGGACAGUGUCUGGUGGGUAGUUUGACUGGGGCGGUCUCCUCCUAAAGAGUAACGGAGGAGCACGAAGGUUGGCUAAUCCUGGUCGGACAUCAGGAGGUUAGUGCAAUGGCAUAAGCCAGCUUGACUGCGAGCGUGACGGCGCGAGCAGGUGCGAAAGCAGGUCAUAGUGAUCCGGUGGUUCUGAAUGGAAGGGCCAUCGCUCAACGGAUAAAAGGUACUCCGGGGAUAACAGGCUGAUACCGCCCAAGAGUUCAUAUCGACGGCGGUGUUUGGCACCUCGAUGUCGGCUCAUCACAUCCUGGGGCUGAAGUAGGUCCCAAGGGUAUGGCUGUUCGCCAUUUAAAGUGGUACGCGAGCUGGGUUUAGAACGUCGUGAGACAGUUCGGUCCCUAUCUGCCGUGGGCGCUGGAGAACUGAGGGGGGCUGCUCCUAGUACGAGAGGACCGGAGUGGACGCAUCACUGGUGUUCGGGUUGUCAUGCCAAUGGCACUGCCCGGUAGCUAAAUGCGGAAGAGAUAAGUGCUGAAAGCAUCUAAGCACGAAACUUGCCCCGAGAUGAGUUCUCCCUGACCCUUUAAGGGUCCUGAAGGAACGUUGAAGACGACGACGUUGAUAGGCCGGGUGUGUAAGCGCAGCGAUGCGUUGAGCUAACCGGUACUAAUGAACCGUGAGGCUUAACCUU